Molecule: ribosomal RNA, 226 nt
Filed under: Hepatozoon felis
Lineage: Eukaryota; Apicomplexa; Hepatozoidae
Description: partial small subunit ribosomal RNA
Rfam family: Eukaryotic small subunit ribosomal RNA
Source: RNAcentral
GCCAGCAGCCGCGGUAAUUCCAGCUCCAAUAGCGUAUAUUAAAAUUGUUGCAGUUAAAAAGCUCGUAGUUGAAUUUCUGCUAAAAAUAACCGGUCUGCUUUUAAUAAAGGUGGUAUCUUGGUGUGUUUUUAGCAAUAAUGUCCUUUGAAAUGUUUUUUACUUCAUUGUAAUAAAUUAUAUUUAGGAUUUUUACUUUGAGAAAAUUAGAGUGUUUCUAGCAGGCUAA